Molecule: long non-coding RNA, 339 nt
Filed under: Malus domestica (apple)
Lineage: Eukaryota; Viridiplantae; Streptophyta; Magnoliopsida; Rosales; Rosaceae
Description: long non-coding RNA (MDOM_LNC016830)
Source: RNAcentral
CACACUUCUACAAUAAUUAUUAUUAAUUUUAUUAAUUUUGCACUCAAAUAAAAAACAUUGUUCAUGAGAUUUGGAGGGUUUUAAAAAUCUGAACGACCAUGUAACCAUCAUCUAAGCGUUGAGGAUGCAAUUAUGAACGUUUAUUAUGCUUUCACAUCUUUCAGACCUAUACAUUAAUGAUUAUGAAUUUUGUUUAUUUUGAACCCCCUUAAAAAUACUAUUCAUGAGAGUUUGUAUGGUUUUAAAAAUUCACACGAUCAUAUACCCAUCCUCAAAGCGUAGAGGAUGCGACUACGAGUGUUUGCAUAUUUUUUGCACAUGUAAAUUAAUUAUUAUAAU